This 468-nucleotide ribosomal RNA is filed under the name uncultured bacterium. RNAcentral's name for it is "partial 16S ribosomal RNA". It matches the Rfam family "Bacterial small subunit ribosomal RNA", at positions 28 to 507 of the family's 1533-position model. The record is from RNAcentral.
GACGAACGCUGGCGGCGUGCUUAACACAUGCAAGUCGAACGGUGAAAGAAGAGCUUGCUCUUCUGGAUCAGUGGCGAACGGGUGAGUAACACGUGAGUAACCUGCCCCAGACUCUGGAAUAAGCGCUGGAAACGGCGUCUAAUACCGGAUACGAGACAGACCUGCAUGGCUACUGUCUGGAAAGUUUUUCGGUCUGGGAUGGACUCGCGGCCUAUCAGCUUGUUGGUGAGGUAACGGCUCACCAAGGCAACGACGGGUAGCCGGCCUGAGAGGGCGACCGGCCACACUGGGACUGAGACACGGCCCAGACUCCUACGGGAGGCAGCAGUGGGGAAUAUUGCACAAUGGGCGAAAGCCUGAUGCAGCGACGCCGCGUGAGGGAUGACGGCCUUCGGGUUGUAAACCUCUUUCAGCAGGGAAGAAGCGAAAGUGACGGUACCUGCAGAAGAAGCACCGGCUAACUACGUG